CGGCCACUCGUCUGCAGCAGCUGGGAGGAGACCCCCUGGCCGUGGAGAAAUGCAUACCCCUGCCUACACGCAGCUCCGAUUCUUCGCCAUUCUGGAGAGGUCUUCACUGGUCCUUCUAACUCCAGGUUGUUUUGGUAGUUAAACUGAUCAUUUGGUACUUGGGGAUCAGAAUAUUGAGUUCAAAUUGCUGCAGAACCAAAGAAAAAAAUGGACAUUCCUCAGAAAUCCUGGGCUCAAGCCUGAUGCCUGCGGAGCUUGUUUUGAUGACAACUAUACACUUUCUACCCUGCUGACAGGCAUCUUGGUCUCCAUCUUUACUUCCAAAGAGGCUGAGAAAGGCACUCCUGAAUACUUUUGGGGCCAAGAACAUUUUCUGCAUUGUUUAAGGGAUGUAAUCUUUUUUUGCCUGACAGCUCUUUUUUUUUUUAUGAUUUCUCUUUUUCUACCUCUUUUCUAAAUUAAAUGGCUAUAUCCUGGAGUAGCUGCCACCAAGUUCCUCAAUUUACGUUUCUUCUCCCACUCUUAACAUCUUAGCAUUUUCUCCUCAUUCUACAGACAGAAGUACAAAUGCCAAAUAAAAACAAUUAGCAAAACACAACCCCUUCUUAGUGGUGUUUAACCUUGACUACGGAUGCAAAAUAUUCCUGUGUUAAAUGUCCCCGAUCUUCUUUCAGGUUAUAAGGAAGGAUUUAAGCCUGAAUGGUGUGUAACAAUGAAUAAAUGAAAAGUGCUUGAUCAAUAUUUGACGAAGGUGCAAUGUGCAUAUCUAUUUUCAUAUUGUUGGAAGUGUAUCUUUAGGAAAUCCUAGAAGCGGGAUUGCUGGGUCAAAAGGUAAGUACAUGGGUAGUUUUCUUAUACUAACUUGUUUGCCAAAUUCCCCACCAAAAGGAUGUACCUGUUUGUAUUUCCACCACCAAAUAAGAAGGUGCCUGCUUCCACAAGGCCUUUUCAACAGAAUGUGUGCCAAUCUGACAGGUGAAAAUUGGUAUCUCAGUAUUACUGUAACUUACAUAUCUCUAUGAAUAAGUUUGAACAUUAUUUCAUAUAUUUGAGUCAUUUUUAUAUCUCUUUUUGCUGAUUAUCUGUUCAUAGCUUUUUCUCAUUUUGUUAUUAGGUUUUUUUUGUCAUUUUUUCCUCAAAUUUUGAGAGGUCUUCAUAUAUUACGGAUACUAGAUCUUUAUUGGUAAUAUGUGUUGCAGAUAUUUUUUCCCAGUUUGUAGUUGUGUUUUGGCUUUUUUUAUGGUGAAUUUUUUGCCAUGCAAAAUUUUGUAUUUUUGCAUAGUCACAUUUAUGAAUCUUUAAUUUUAUUGCCUCUGGAUUUUGAUAAUUUAAUAAUUUUGAUAAUUUCACAUGUUUUCCCUAUACUAAUGUUAAAGAAGAGUUUACCCAUGUUUUAUUCUAAUUGUUGUAUGUCUUUGUUUUUUACUUUUAUUUUCCUCAUGCAUUUGAAGUUUACUCAUAUGCAUGAGUGAAUGUACUCAUUUUCAUGAGUAAAUGUACCAUUCAUCAUGGAUAUAAUUUUUUUUUCCAAGUGGUCUAGCUGUUAUCCCAGAAUCAUUUAUUACAAAAGUCCAUCUUUAUUACAAAUGAUUUGAGAUGCCGUCUUUAUCCAUACUAAUCUCCAUAUGUACUUGGUUUUAUUCUAUGCCACUGGCCUGUCUAUUCAUCUUCCAAUUACCACAUUGUUUUAAUUAUAGAGGCUCUAUAAUAUAUUUUAAUAUUUGAUUGAGCUAGUCCUCUUUACUUUUGUUUCUUUUUGUGUUGUGUUAUCUAUGUUUUUUUUUUUUUUGGCCAUGCCACGCUGCAUGCAGGAUCUUAGUUCCCUGACCAAGGAUUGAGCCUUGGCCCCUUGCAGUUGAAGUGCAGAGUCCUAACCACUGGAUUGCCAGAGAAUUCCUGUUUUAUCUACUCUUGAAUGUUUAUUUUUUCAUAUGAACUUUAAUAAAACUUAACUUUAAUAAAAACUUAUCUAACUCCAAAAAA
Long non-coding RNA from Orcinus orca (killer whale), 1983 nucleotides. RefSeq lists it as uncharacterized. The transcript is spliced from 4 exons. NCBI's taxonomy places the organism in Eukaryota, Metazoa, Chordata, Mammalia, Artiodactyla, Delphinidae. The record is from RefSeq and is a predicted model, not a curated record.